CCUCAGUAUGAACCCUGUAGACCCGAGUUUGGAUGCCGUUAGAUGCAAAUUCGAGUCUAUAAGGAAAGAUACUUUGGAA
Molecule: microRNA precursor, 79 nt
Filed under: Schistosoma japonicum
Lineage: Eukaryota; Metazoa; Platyhelminthes; Trematoda; Strigeidida; Schistosomatidae
Description: microRNA sja-mir-10 precursor
Gene: sja-mir-10
Rfam family: mir-10 microRNA precursor family
About the family: In this case the mature sequence comes from the 5' arm of the precursor. The extents of the hairpin precursors are not generally known and are estimated based on hairpin prediction.
Source: miRBase by way of RNAcentral